This 280-nucleotide ribosomal RNA is filed under the name uncultured prokaryote. RNAcentral's name for it is "partial 16S ribosomal RNA". It matches the Rfam family "Bacterial small subunit ribosomal RNA", at positions 524 to 803 of the family's 1533-position model. The record is from RNAcentral.
UACGUAGGGGCUAGCGUUAUCCGGAAUUACUGGGCGUAAAGGGUGCGUAGGUGGUUUCUUAAGUCAGAGGUGAAAGGCUACGGCUCAACCGUAGUAAGCCUUUGAAACUGGGAAACUUGAGUGCAGGAGAGGAGAGUGGAAUUCCUAGUGUAGCGGUGGAAUGCGUAGAUAUUAGAAGGAACACCAGUGGCGAAGGCGACUUUCUGGACUGUAACUGACGCUGAGGCACGAAAGCGUGGGUAGCGAACAGGAUUAGAUACCCUGGUAGUCCCUGAGCGGG